AGACGGAGGGGGCUAGCGUUGUUCGGAAUUACUGGGCGUAAAGCGCGCGUAGGCGGCCGUUCAAGUUGGGCGUGAAAGCCCGGGGCUCAACCCAGGAACUGCGUUUAAUACUGGAAAACUUGAGAUCGGUAGAGGAAAGUGGAAUUCCUAGUGUAGAGGUGAAAUUCGUAGAUAUUAGGAGGAACACCAGAGGCGAAGGCGACUUUCUGGGCCGAAUCUGACGCUGAGGCGCGAAAGCGUGGGGAGCAAACAGGAUUAGAUACCCCGGUAGUCC
This 274-nucleotide ribosomal RNA is filed under the name uncultured bacterium. RNAcentral describes it as "partial 16S ribosomal RNA". It matches the Rfam family "Bacterial small subunit ribosomal RNA", at positions 523 to 796 of the family's 1533-position model. The record is from RNAcentral.